RNAcentral lists this long non-coding RNA (1031 nucleotides) under Pogona vitticeps (central bearded dragon). RNAcentral's name for it is "lncRNA (ENSPVIG00000000883.1)". Lineage: Eukaryota; Metazoa; Chordata; Lepidosauria; Squamata; Agamidae. The record is from RNAcentral.
AACUCCAGCUGUUAAAGAGUUACUGUGCUGCAUACAAUCCACAUGCUGGCAAUAAGUGGCUGAAUGAGCAAUGUAAGUAGCUUAAAAAUAGAUCUGCACCAUGAUUAUUUCCCCCACUUGCUCCAUUUCUGCUGUUGCUUCUGGUACUAACACACGCCAGCUUCCUUUGAAGCACGUGAGCGGCUGUCACCUGGGGAUAUAGCUGCAAGCCAUGAAGCACUCCGGGGCUUCGGAUCCAUUAAUCCUGAGAAAUAUUCUGUCGUUAAGGAAUUUCUCAGACAUAAAAGACUGCUUCAAUCAAAUCAUAUUAACAUAUCAGCUCUUAAUGACUGGUAAUCUGUAACAUACAAUUUGAUGCUAGGAGGUACAGAUAUGAUUCAACUCUUUUCACUAGUGUACACCAUUUUUUAAGAAGGAAUGAACCUCCCACUCCCAUUGUUUGUGCAAUGCAGUACAGUAGGACCCCGCUAUCCAUGGAUUAAUUUAUCCACUCUGAAAAUAUUUAAAAUAUUAAAAGAAAAAUCAAAUAUGUAUUUGUAAAUAUGAUGUUACUAGAACUGGCCACUAGAGGGAACCAGAGACCAUGUUAUGUAGAGCAUUUGCUAUUAAAAUAGUGUUCUGCAUUUUGGGUAGUAUUUGAAAUUUAAAACGUCUCAUGUCACCAUCCUGUGGCUUUAAAGAUUUGGUAUAAAAUGAUAAAGGACAAGACAUUUCUCCUGUUGCCAUUGUUCACACAGGCCUUUCUGAAUACAUGCAACAUUAAUGAACCUUUCGCAGUGCCUGCUGCUUGAAAGAAGGGAGACUUACCUGCAGCCAUUCCACGUUCUGGCGACAGACCUCAAGCCCCGGGAAGGCAAAAGAAGGCCAUGAAGACAGUACAGGAUGCUUUAGUGGGAUGGGCUCUACUGUUAAGGCGAGACAGUUGCUUACUUUGGGGGUGACAUGUUGAAUGCUCUCUGUUCUCCCCAAUGUAACUGGAGUAGUUUCCUAGCCUGAGCUAUUAAACAGCAGCACUAUUCUGAUUCAAGAAG